Long non-coding RNA from Erythranthe guttata (spotted monkey flower), 574 nucleotides. RefSeq lists it as uncharacterized. The record is from RefSeq and is a predicted model, not a curated record. Lineage: Eukaryota; Viridiplantae; Streptophyta; Magnoliopsida; Lamiales; Phrymaceae.
CCUCCCAUAUUCAUUUAUUUCCCCUUAUUCAGCUCCCUCUCUCUCUCUCUCUCUCUCUUCAGCCUUUCCUCACCGUCGAUCCGCCUUGGAGCAUCCACCACGGGAUCUAACGUCUCUCCUCUGUCGCCGCUGCACCGCUCCAGACGUUUCUCCUCUAUCGCCGUGACAUCCUCUGUUCUUCCAUCGCCCCCCAUCGCUCUUCAGCCACUGGUCCUCCGGCGAUGUCCUCUAUCUUCGCUCAUUUAACACGGCGGAGAUUGAAAUAGGUCUUGGUGUUUGAACUACUAUGUAGUAAGUUUUUUCACAGGUCUUGGUGUUUGAACUACUAUGUAGUAAGUUUUUGCGGAGUGGAUUGUGUUCGUUGUUCAAAACAAGCGGUUCUCGUGUUGACAAUUGCGAUUUGAGUCAAAUUUAGUCGUAUAGAUAACUGUAGUUAUGUAUAGUUCUAUGUAGUUAUAUAUAUUUAUAUACAAGCUAUGUGUUUUUCUGAUGAAUAGUGAUCUUGAUGAUUGUGUUUUUUUUUUCACUUUUUUGUUAGGCAUUAAAUUUUUUAUAAUACCAAGAAUCAAAUUUU